Molecule: ribosomal RNA, 107 nt
Filed under: Spirochaetaceae bacterium
Lineage: Bacteria; Pseudomonadati; Spirochaetota; Spirochaetia; Spirochaetales; Spirochaetaceae
Description: partial 23S ribosomal RNA
Rfam family: Bacterial large subunit ribosomal RNA
Source: RNAcentral
UAACCCCCCUGAAGACCCCGGACAGACCAUCCGGUUGAUAGGUCGCAGGUAUAAGCAUAGUAAUGUGUUCAGCCGAGCGAUACUAAUAGGUCGUGAGGCUUGACCAU